This 327-nucleotide long non-coding RNA is filed under the name Mus spicilegus (steppe mouse). RNAcentral describes it as "lncRNA (ENSMSIG00000028807.1)". Lineage: Eukaryota; Metazoa; Chordata; Mammalia; Rodentia; Muridae. The record is from RNAcentral.
AUGUAUACAUUAAGUUAUAAUUCACAUACAUCUUGUGCACAUUUCAAAGGUCUGCUAAAAUUGGUCAUUAUCAUCCUAUUUUACAUAUGGAGGAACUGCACUCAUUCUGUAUCAUUAAGAAUCUGCAGUGUGCUGGGCGCUAUGUUAAACCGUGAGAAUGCAAGGAAAUUGUCGUCUGAUCAAAGCCACCCGCAUAAAAGGUUGCAGGAUAAAGGCAGCCACAGAGUGCAGUGGGAUCAAAGACUUCCUGGAGAAGAGGGAAAAUUUUGCAUGUGCUCAGAAGACCUGAGAGGACAGAGUGCCGAGUAUGAGGAGCCUGAGAGGUGA